Pseudophryne corroboree (corroboree frog) is the source of this 1393-nucleotide long non-coding RNA. RefSeq lists it as uncharacterized. The record is from RefSeq and is a predicted model, not a curated record. The transcript is spliced from 6 exons. NCBI's taxonomy places the organism in Eukaryota, Metazoa, Chordata, Amphibia, Anura, Myobatrachidae.
CUGAGUCGGGCAGUCUGAGGCUGAGCGGAGGCAGGAGAGUAAUUAACAGAGCAGCUGGUCUACUGACAGCCAGUUGCUCUGCUUCACUGCUGCUGGCCCCGCCCACCUCACUCAGAGUGGGCUGCGUGUAACACACAGCCCAGCUUACCUCUUCCUGGUCCUGCAAUCUGCAUGUGGCUGCUCAGUGCUGACUCCCCCACCACACUGUCCUGGGACAGUUCCCUGCUCCUCACAGGAAAGAGCAGCAAAGCCAGCAGGUUGUCAUGACACCGGACGGCGGCGCCUGCAGAUGACGUCAUUGGACCGGGCGGGAAGUGACGGACGGACGCAGCGGGCGGACUGCCUCAUGCACAAUCAGAGGAGGCUAUAUAGGUGCGGGGUCUGGUAGACAAGUAUCGGUCUUCACAGCGCACUACAUUCUCCAUAAUCCAAUGCGGCAACGACGCGUGCCUAGUUACUAUGGCACCGGGCGGCCGCGCACUGAUGACGUCAUCCGACGGCGCCAAUCCACGGAAUCCUUUAGCGCCGGCUGAGUGCACACAUGGGGCUUCUUCCACACUAUAAAGGUGCGGGGUCUGGUAGACAAGUAUCGGUCUUCACAGCGCACUACAUUCUCCAUAAUCCAAUGCGGCAACGACGCGUGCCUAGUUACUAUGGCACCGGGCGGCCGCGCACUGAUGACGUCAUUCGACGGCGCCGAUCCACGGAAUCGUUUAGCGCCGGCUGAGUACACACAUGGGGCUUCUUCCACACUAUAAAGGUAACUGAAGAUAGCUAUGACAAAAGAGGAGAGAACAGAGGUCAUUUUGAUGUCUGGAGAACAAAGUUUCCGUGUCAUAGCUGCAGAUUAUAACAUUCAGCACCCAGAAAGACCUCCAAAUCCACAUACCGCUGUCAGGUGCAUAAUUUCCAAAUUCCGAGAAACUGGGACUGUGACUGACAAGUCACGGAGUGAUCGUCACCUUUCAGGUGGUCCCCUGCUGGUGGAGACCAAAUAUAGAAAUGCAGAAAAAGAAUUACCUAAGAUUGUCCCAUUCAUUCUAUAUGGACUGGACCGCUACAUUUAUCAAUAAAGAAAGCCUGACUGAAAAGUUUUUGGAUACUUAGACACUCAGACCAACUUUCCAUCUAUCCACAUGAUAAAACUUACCUGUCUUAGACGGCGGAGCACCAUGUAAGUAGAUGUUUACCAUUGUACCUGUUUUGCUGUUGCUCUCAUAUAUUCUGUAACUCCAGGUGAAAUACGGAGUUUUUAUUCCCCGCUUCUCGGAGCAUUGUUAUUUUUUGCUUACGUGUACACAAUGGACCGUUAUCUAGUUUUCCAUUUUUGUACUGUGCCAUAUAUGUAUUGAAAUGGCUUUUGUGAAUCAAUAAAAAUAUUAUUUAAAAAAAA